This 3710-nucleotide long non-coding RNA is filed under the name Sus scrofa (pig). RNAcentral's name for it is "lncRNA (ENSSSCG00055002858.1)". Lineage: Eukaryota; Metazoa; Chordata; Mammalia; Artiodactyla; Suidae. The record is from RNAcentral.
CCUUAUGUCUCUCAGUUCUUAGUGGUUGUGAUCCAUUAUCACUAUACUCCUCUCACUACUUUAAAGGCACAACAAAAACCAGAACACUGAGAUAAGGGUUUUUUAAAAUAAUAAAUACUAAAUAAUAGUGUUAAUAUUUUUUAGGAAAAUAACCUUUAAAAAAUAUUCUGAUAGAGUGAUAAAGAACACAUGUCUUACUUUCCAUGUAACAACUAAAGGGAAUGUGUACUUUGAGUUUUCAAAAUAUAGUGACUCAAUCAUUGUGAUAAAAUAAUUUUCUCAAAUUUUCCCAGUCUGAUAAUUUCUUCCCACCCCCCUCUACAGUUAUUUCUCCUGGCUGUCCUCCAUGAUUGCCUUCUUUUUCCUCAUGUGUGCGGCUCCAGGUGCAGUGGAGUCCACUAAUCUUGUCCGCUGAACUAUAUCCAAUAAACAUUCAUAUUUCUCCAUUUAUUUUCUAGAUGGUAAAUCUGCAUGUUAGAUAAUUUACAUGAAUUGUGAUCCAAACAGAACCUUCUCAUAGUAAAUGGCUGAUAUGUCUCUUAAUUCUCUCUUUUUUCUUUUUAGGGGCACACCUGUGGCAUACAAAAGCUCCCAGGCUAGGGGUCAAAUCUGAGCUGCAGCUGCCAGCGACUCCACAGCCACAGUGAGACAGGAUCCAAGCUGCAUCUGCAACCUACACCACAGCUCAUGUCAACACUGGAUCCUUAACCCACUGAGUCAGGCUAUGGAUCAAACCCAUAUCCUCAUAGAUACGACUCAGGCUUAUAACCCACUGAGCCACGACAGGAACUCCUUAAUUCUCUUAAUAUAACAGGCUUUCCUUCUUUUCUUGCACCAUUUUUUGUUUUGGAAAUUGUGUUGGUUGCCUUGUAGGGUUUCAUAUUGUUGAUUAAAAUUCUGUAGUGAUAUUUAUGAGUCCUAAACAUAGUGAUUGUUUUCAGAUCUACAUCAUGUCUGGCAGUGUUUGUUUUGGCUAUGUGCCACAAGACACUAAAAAUAAAUGACAAACUUGGGAAAGUAUGUGGCACCUGAAUUCAUAAAGAGCUUCCAAAAGGUAGGGAAGAAAGUACCUAGGAUACCUAGGUAGAAUAUCUGGAGAAAAUUGGUCUAAAGAUUUAUAAAAGAGAGAUCAUGGAAAAAGAAAUGCUGACUUUAAAAACAAUGCUGAACUCAAUCAUAAUGAGAUAAAUAGAAUAUAAAAACACACUAAGGUAGUAUUUCUCAUCUGUAUUAUUGGUGGAAAAUAUUUGUCAACUUGUUCUGCUGGUAGCUAUGGGAAUAUAGGCACGGUGAUACAAUGCUGGAGAGAAAUUAAAAUGGUAGAACUCAUAGGAAGGGGAAUUUGGCAAUAUCAAGUAUAAUCACACAUUUAUUUUUCAUUUGGUCCAAUUAUCCCACUUGAAUAUAUGCUAAAAACAUGCUGGUAUUAAAAAAUUCAGAAAAACAAAUGGGAAAGUCUCCUUAUAUAAGAAUAGGAAUAUUUUUUAAUAGUCAAAGACUAGAAAUAUCCUCAAUGACCAUUUGCAAAGUCUUAUGAAAUACAUCCUGAUGCAGCCUUGCAAAAGAUUACUACACAUCUGGAAUAAAAAGAAUGAAGAUUUGCUCCUUACACUACCAUAUCUUGAUAUUUAGAAAAUAUUAAGGGGUAACAGCAAGGAAGAAAUAACUCUAAUAUGUGAUACUUUAUCUAAGAAGCAGCAGCAGCAGAUACUAGUGUCCACAUAUAUACCUGUAUUUGGUUAUAUUUUUCAAAAUUAAUGAAAAGAUAAACCUAGAUUUAAAGCUCAUUAGCUUAAUUUUAAGCUAAACUAAACAAAAACCACUAUCUAUACAUACAGAGAGAGGCAAUCACAUGAAGAAGAAAGAAAACCCGUAAUUCUUUGGCUUUAUCUUGGUUUGCAGAUUUGACCCUGGGACCAUGUAAACAUAUCAUGCUUAGAUAAAACAAAAUUCAAUUUAGUAUGAGAAUUUCUUAAAAUUUAAAGAAAAAAUAAAAACAAGCUAAUGUUGUAUCCAAUUUUUAAUACAGCCACACAGAAAGGAAAUAUUCUAUGUGAUCUUAGAACAUUAAUUGGAGUACACAUCCCUAAUGAGAUAAAACUACUAAUACAAAAAAGUUAAAACUCAGUUUUUAAUAAUUAUGUUUUUGGUGGUAGUCUUCAUAUUGGUACACUGAUGCUUGUCAGUGAGUAGGUAUGUAUGUCAAUGAUCAGUGAAUAAGACGACAAAUUUUUUUUUUUUGUCUUUUUAGGGCUGCACCUGCAGCAUAUGGAGGUUCCCAGGGUAGGGGUCUAAUCAGAGCUGUAGCCGCCAGCCUAGGCACAGCCACAGUAAUGCCAGAUUCUUAACCCAUUGAGUGAGGCCAGGGAUCAAACCCACAACCUCAUGGCUCUUUGUUGGAUUUGUUUCUGCUGCGCCGUGACAGGAACUCCAGAUGACAGAAUUUUUGAGAAUUGAGUUUUUCAGUGAGGAUAGAAGAUCAAGAUCUCAACUUGGUGAAGCAGGACUGGAGCUCAUAUUCUCUCAUAAAAACAGCAAAAUUACAACCAACUGCUGAACAACCAUCAACACAAUAGACUGGAAAGUACCUACCAAAAAAAGAUAUCCUAUACUAAAAGACAAAUAAGAGGUCAUAUCAAGACAUAGGAGGGGUGAUUACAUGAUGUAAGUCAGGUAGGAAGCCCACAGACUGGAAAGUAUCUCAAUCACAGAGACUCACCCACGGGAGUAAGAGUUCUCCGCCCCACAUCAGGUUCCCAUGCCUGGGGGUCUGGCAUUGGGAGGAGAAGCCCCCAGAACAUUCUGAAUUGAGGGCCAUUGGGGCUUGUGCACAGGAGCUCCACAGGACUGGGAAAAACAAAGACUCCACUCUUGAAAGGUGCACAUAGACUCUUGUGUGCUCUAGGUCGCAAGGUGAAGCAGAGACUACAUAGCAAUCUUGGUCAGACCUGCCUGCAGAUCUUGAAGGAUCUCCUGGGCAAACAGGUGGUGACUGUGGCUUGUUUUGCAGGAAGGGCAUUGGGGGCAAAGGUCUCAAGAAUAAGUAUCAGUGUGAACUCCACUGGAGGUGGCCAUUCUGGAAAAAUUCUGGCUCACCCAUCAGAGCUGAGAAGCCCCAGGCCAAACAACUCAUCUAGUGGGAACACAGUCACACCCAUAAGCAAAAAGGCUGCCUAAAGACCUCCCAGGCAUAUGCAACCUCUAAUCACACACAGAGACAAAGCCCCACUCACCACAGGGGUAAGAAUCAGCUCCACCUAGCAGUGGGCAGACACCAAUCCCUCCCAUCAGGAAACCUGCAGCAAGCACCUGUACCAACCUCAACCACAAAGGGGCAGACAUCAGAAGCAAGACAGGAUAUAACCCUAGUGGCUGCAAAAAGGACACCACACAAAAAAUUUAUACAAAGUGGAAAGGCAGAGAAAUAUGACUCAGAUAAAGGAACAACAACAACAAAAGAAUCUAGGUGAACUGGAGAUCACCAACCUCCAUGAAAAAGACUUUAGACUAAUACUAAUGAUAGUAGAGAUGAGUCAAGAUCUUGGAAAUGAACUUGAGGCACCAUUUGAUAAAUUAUAAGAAAUACUGAAGAAAUAGAAUAUUUAAAGAUUUAAGCACGCAUAAAUGCAAAAUAUGAUAACUGAAAGAAAAAAUUCAAAAGGAGGAACCAGCAGCAGAAUACAGGAGGCAGAAGAAUGAUUAAGUGAGGU